UGCUUGGGAAUAUGCCUUGAGGUGGGGGACAACAGUUGGAAACGACUGCUAAUACCGCAUAAUGUCUACGGACCAAAGAGGGGGACCUUCGGGCCUCUUGCCUUUAGAUUAGCCCAAGUGAGAUUAGCUAGUAGGUGGGGUAAUGGCUCACCUAGGCGACGAUCUCUAGCUGGUCUGAGAGGAUGAUCAGCCACACUGGGACUGAGACACGGCCCAGACUCCUACGGGAGGCAGCAGUGGGGAAUAUUGGACAAUGGAGGCAACUCUGAUCCAGCCAUGCCGCGUGCAGGAUGACUGCCC
Molecule: ribosomal RNA, 300 nt
Filed under: uncultured Thalassomonas sp.
Lineage: Bacteria; Pseudomonadati; Pseudomonadota; Gammaproteobacteria; Alteromonadales; Colwelliaceae
Description: bacterial SSU rRNA
Rfam family: Bacterial small subunit ribosomal RNA
Source: RNAcentral